RNAcentral lists this ribosomal RNA (495 nucleotides) under uncultured bacterium. RNAcentral's name for it is "partial 16S ribosomal RNA". It matches the Rfam family "Bacterial small subunit ribosomal RNA", at positions 28 to 505 of the family's 1533-position model. The record is from RNAcentral.
GAUGAACGCUGGCGGCGUGCCUAAUACAUGCAAGUCGAGCGAACAGACGAGGAGCUUGCUCCUCUGACGUUAGCGGCGGACGGGUGAGUAACACGUGGAUAACCUACCUAUAAGACUGGGAUAACUUCGGGAAACCGGAGCUAAUACCGGAUAAUAUAUUGAACCGCAUGGUUCAAUAGUGAAAGACGGUUUUGCUGUCACUUAUAGAUGGAUCCGCGCCGCAUUAGCUAGUUGGUAAGGUAACGGCUUACCAAGGCAACGAUGCGUAGCCGACCUGAGAGGGUGAUCGGCCACACUGGAACUGAGACACGGUCCAGACUCCUACGGGAGGCAGCAGUAGGGAAUCUUCCGCAAGGGGCGAAAGCCUGACGGAGCAACGCCGCGUGAGUGAUGAAGGUCUUCGGAUCGGAAAACUCUGUUAUUAGGGAAGAACAAAUGUGUAAGUAACUAUGCACGUCUUGACGGUACCUAAUCAGAAAGCCACGGCUAACUACG